AGAGUUUGAUCCUGGCUCAGGACGAACGCUGGCGGCGUGCCUAAUACAUGCAAGUCGAGCGGACAGAUGGGAGCUUGCUCCCUGAUGUUAGCGGCGGACGGGUGAGUAACACGUGGGUAACCUGCCUGUAAGACUGGGAUAACUCCGGGAAACCGGGGCUAAUACCGGAUGGUUGUUUGAACCGCAUGGUUCAAACAUAAAAGGUGGCUUCGGCUACCACUUACAGAUGGACCCGCGGCGCAUUAGCUAGUUGGUGAGGUAACGGCUCACCAAGGCGACGAUGCGUAGCCGACCUGAGAGGGUGAUCGGCCACACUGGGACUGAGACACGGCCCAGACUCCUACGGGAGGCAGCAGUAGGAAAUCUUCCGCAAUGGACGAAAGUCUGACGGAGCAACGCCGCGUGAGUGAUGAAGGUUUUCGGAUCGUAAAGCUCUGUUGUUAGGGAAGAACAAGUGCCGUUCGAAUAGGGCGGUACCUUGACGGUACCUAACCAGAAAGCCACGGCUAACUACGUGCCAGCAGCCGCGGUAAUACGUAGGUGGCAAGCGUUGUCCGGAAUUAUUGGGCGUAAAGGGCUCGCAGGCGGUUUCUUAAGUCUGAUGUGAAAGCCCCCGGCUCAACCGGGGAGGGUCAUUGGAAACUGGGGAACUUGAGUGCAGAAGAGGAGAGUGGAAUUCCACGUGUAGCGGUGAAAUGCGUAGAGAUGUGGAGGAACACCAGUGGCGAAGGCGACUCUCUGGUCUGUAACUGACGCUGAGGAGCGAAAGCGUGGGGAGCGAACAGGAUUAGAUACCCUGGUAGUCCACGCCGUAAACGAUGAGUGCUAAGUGUUAGGGGGUUUCCGCCCCUUAGUGCUGCAGCUAACGCAUUAAGCACUCCGCCUGGGGAGUACGGUCGCAAGACUGAAACUCAAAGGAAUUGACGGGGGCCCGCACAAGCGGUGGAGCAUGUGGUUUAAUUCGAAGCAACGCGAAGAACCUUACCAGGUCUUGACAUCCUCUGACAAUCCUAGAGAUAGGACGUCCCCUUCGGGGGCAGAGUGACAGGUGGUGCAUGGUUGUCGUCAGCUCGUGUCGUGAGAUGUUGGGUUAAGUCCCGCAACGAGCGCAACCCUUGAUCUUAGUUGCCAGCAUUCAGUUGGGCACUCUAAGGUGACUGCCGGUGACAAACCGGAGGAAGGUGGGGAUGACGUCAAAUCAUCAUGCCCCUUAUGACCUGGGCUACACACGUGCUACAAUGGACAGAACAAAGGGCAGCGAAACCGCGAGGUUAAGCCAAUCCCACAAAUCUGUUCUCAGUUCGGAUCGCAGUCUGCAACUCGACUGCGUGAAGCUGGAAUCGCUAGUAAUCGCGGAUCAGCAUGCCGCGGUGAAUACGUUCCCGAGCCUUGUACACACCGCCCGUCACACCACGAGAGUUUGUAACACCCGAAGUCGGUGAGGUAACCUUUUAGGAGCCAGCCGCCGAAGGUGGGACAGAUGAUUGGGGUGAAGUCGUAACAAGGUA
This 1508-nucleotide ribosomal RNA is filed under the name metagenome. RNAcentral describes it as "bacterial SSU rRNA". It matches the Rfam family "Bacterial small subunit ribosomal RNA". The record is from RNAcentral.